AUACGAUGAAGAGUUUGAUCCUGGCUCAGGAUGAACGCUAGCGGCAGGCUUAACACAUGCAAGUCGAGGGGUAGAGUAGCAAUACUUGAGACCGGCGCACGGGUGCGUAACGCGUAUGCAAUCUACCUUUUACAGAGGGACAGCCCAGAGAAAUUUGGAUUAAUACCUCAUAGUAUAACAUGACCGCAUGGUUAAGUUAUUAAAGUUACAACGGUAAAAGAUGAGCAUGCGUCCCAUUAGUUAGUUGGUAAGGUAACGGCUUACCAAGACGAUGAUGGGUAGGGGUCCUGAGAGGGAGAUCCCCCACACUGGUACUGAGACACGGACCAGACUCCUACGGGAGGCAGCA
Molecule: ribosomal RNA, 349 nt
Filed under: Flavobacterium sp.
Lineage: Bacteria; Pseudomonadati; Bacteroidota; Flavobacteriia; Flavobacteriales; Flavobacteriaceae
Description: bacterial SSU rRNA
Rfam family: Bacterial small subunit ribosomal RNA
Source: RNAcentral